AUGUUGUUCCUUCGCGAUCUGGAUUCGAGAUCAGUCAGUUUGUUUUGGAUACUCCUCUGUCGCUUAAUGCUUUCAGUCAGCGCUUCGGUCAAAUCCAGUGUCAUGUCCUCAACACGUCCCACGCAAUUCUCCGCUUCUUCCAUUCUUUCAGUCAGGCCUCUCAUUUCCUCCGUCAGGUUAUCAAGUUUAUUACCCAUCUCCUGGCUCAGGGUAUUGAUGUCCUUCCUUAGUUUGUCAUUGUCCUCCUUCAGUUCGGAUUUAAGCGUUUCUAUUGCUUCCAAUAUAGCGCUCGAAGUUUUGUUAGUUCCGCCCGGGCUCGUGCUUGCUUGCUCGGUUGCGUUGCUAGCUUUUGUCGCGGUUAUUGAUUUGUCUCCUUUAGGCAUUUUGCGUCCUUUUGGCCUUUAAUGUUUUGAACCCCACUCAAAUGCUUAACUUACUCUAUUAAUGAAUGAUAUAUCGUAUAGUUUUGGUGGGUAUUUUCCAUCAAUCUCGGAGAGCAGUCACCAAACACGUCUGUCUCGUUACGCCAUCACCGGAAGUCCCCUCAAAACUGUUUAUUUUACUUGUAUCUUUACUCUAUUGUAUUUAUUUGUGAUGUUGCUUGUAGUUAGAUAGAAUAUUCUUAUUUUCUUUAUUUUUAUUUGAAAAUAUAGUUUUUCCAUAAACAUAGCAACAACUGUACCAAAACCGAUACCCUAAAACCGUGAUACAAACCGAACCAUGAAAAAGUUGAACCGUUCCACCCCUAGUAUUUGGUCAUAGGACUGGAAAUGAUUACAAUCAAGCAAGGCAAGGUAUGUGGUUGGAAUAAUGAGUCUACAAAAGGUAGUACAUUUUAGCUCUUCAUCUUCAAUUUGUAGACUCUUAGGACACUGAUCUAAGGGCAGGGAGGGAAACAGUGGACCUUUGUUCCAUUAAUUCCUGUUGCCCAACUCAACUAAAGUUUUGCAUCGUGUAUUGUCAUUGGCAGGAUUGAUUUUGGAAUCAACAUAAUGCCAGGCACUAGAGUCAGUCAGUUCCUAUAACUCUGCCACUCUUGUUGUGACAAAACAAAAAAUGUAAAGCCUACAUCAUUCAGCUUGCAUCCAUGUCAACACUAGUGAAAUCAACCAAAGAGUGACCAAAGAAACAGAUUGGGACACUAAGCUCUGAUUCAAACAGGUUUGCCAGCAGAGCUUCAAAGCAGCACAAAGCUCCAAAUGUGGAAUUGACUGGUCCUUUUUGGGGGAAACUCUUCAACGGGCAGUUAGGAAGGCUACAAGGUAUAGGCACUGACUUUUUUGUUUUUUGAUUUUAUGUUUCACAAAGUUUCCUGCUUCAUUUGUUUUUGUUCACAUAGUUUCUAGUUUAUUGUGAAGAGAAAACGAAUUUUGGGUAUUUAUUUGGCCCAGCUAACAUCAUUUUACUAAUGCCACCAGUGAAAGUGUGAAAGUGUGAACGAGUACUAUUCAGGUAAAAUAACUACAUCAACCUUAUUAGAUUAUAGGAGCAGACUGAUUGUUAUAAAAGCAGGGAAUAAGUGGACGCUCUCACAAUUCUGCCCAAAAACACUUCCAUGAAUAAAGAAUGGCAUCAAAACA
Molecule: long non-coding RNA, 1580 nt
Organism: Cyprinus carpio (common carp)
Lineage: Eukaryota; Metazoa; Chordata; Actinopteri; Cypriniformes; Cyprinidae
Source: Ensembl